RNAcentral lists this long non-coding RNA (1843 nucleotides) under Homo sapiens (human). Its description in RNAcentral is "HSALNT0263851". The record is from RNAcentral. Lineage: Eukaryota; Metazoa; Chordata; Mammalia; Primates; Hominidae.
GACGCACAGUUCCAACAGUUAUUGUAUACGCUCACCACUUUUAUUUUUCUCUCCAUUCAUUUGUUGUAUAUACAUGUUGUUGGAGUUUAAUCUUACAAUGUAGUCUUAAGGUAACAGAAUAUUUGGUGGACCUAUGAUGGAUUUUGAGGAGUGACUAAUAUGGUCAGUGAUGUAUACAAUAACUGUUGGAACUGUGCAUCUCCUUAUUCGGUGUAGAGGGUGCAAACUUCUUUACAUACAAGGAAGAAAGUUCUGUUUUGUUUGAUAGGAAUAAGAGUUGUCACACUGUUUCAUGAAAGUUCUAAUAAGUGUCGAAGGGUGCAGGUGGAAACUCAGUAGUCAAAUGGUGGAUGGCUGUCCUUUCCUUUCUCUUUGUAGGUGCAUGAAUUUACUUUCUCAGUGGCAGUGUGUAUUUUAGACGUUUUAAACAUUCCAUAACGAAAUAUGAGGAAUAUGUUCACCUUGUUGACUCAAAAAGUAUUUAGAUCAUAGACAAGCAGAUAUAGGAUUCAGAGAUACAAAUUUUUCAUCUUCUGUCAAAGGAGUGUGGAGGCUGGAAAGAAUUACAUCCAAAAGAGAAGGGAGGACGAGUCAGAAGAGGGCAGAGAAGGGAGGUCAAUUCAGAAGAAGCAGAGGCACCAACCCUGAUGUUCUUUUUAGAAGUGGCAUUUUGAGUGUCAUGAUUUGGAGAGUCGCUGUGGCUGUUCCAAGCAAGGAGAGAGGGGAGAAGGAAACAGCUACAGGAGGAGGAGCAGCAGGGAGGAGGGGCAUUGGCCAUUCCAUACUGCUCUGGAAGGCUCUUCUUAUUUAUUUAUUUAUUUAUUUAUUUAUUUAUUUAUUCAUGUUUUUUUGAGACAGGGUCUCACUCCGGUUGCCCAGGCUGGAGUGUACUGGUGCGAUCUCAGCUCACUGCAGCCUUGACCUUCCAGGCUCAGGUGAUUCUCCCACCUCAGCCUCCCAAGUGGCUGUAACCACACAUGCGUGCCACCAUGCUUGGCUAAUUUGUUGUAUUUUCAGUAAAGAUGGGGUUUCACCUUUUGCCACACUUAAAGUAUCAUUGGGUCUGUUGAGUCAGAAGGACAAGUCAUAGAGCAUCUUGAGACCACCUUGUUGCCCAGGCUGGUCUCAAGCCCCUGGAUUCAAGCUGUCCACUUGCCUUGGCCUCCCAAAGUGCUGAAACUACAGGAGUGAGCCACCACAUCCAGCUUCCUUAUUUCUUCUCCAAAGCUCAACUCACACAUUGCUCCCCAGAAAGGUUGCACUGAUGACAAUGGUUUGUCUCCCCUUUCUCUUGAUCCUGUCUGUGCUCACUCCUCUGCCCCAUCUUUGCCACACUCUGUUUCCUUUCAGAGUCGGUGGCUUCCUUCUGUCUCAUCCAGUGAACUGAGAGCUCCUUAAGGAACAGAGUCUUACUCUUGUGUUUCACCUUCAAUGUCUAUAGUUAUGCCACAUAGAAAGCCACACACAGAAGACAGAUAGAUUUGCAAGUUCUGGGAUAACAAACUGUUACGAGGUAAAAAGUCUUGACUCUGAGUUGUCCAGGCUCAUGGGGCAUUGAACAAAGAAUGAACAAAACACUCAGCCAAAGCAACAAAAGAGCAAAGCAAUGAAAGAAGCAACAAAAGCACAGAUUUGUUGUGCACAAACAAAGCAAAAAAAGAAUGAAGCAAUGAAAGCACAGAUUUAUUGAAGCAAAGUACACUCCACAGAGUGGAAGCCAACUUAUGUAAAGGGCUCAAGAGCGCUGAUUACAAUGUUCUUUAGGGUUUUAAGCUAUUAAUAAUUUAGCAACACCCCUAGGUGCCCUUUAGAGGCCUCCAAUUGGUUACACCCUAUGAAGGAC